Molecule: non-coding RNA, 168 nt
Filed under: Jeotgalicoccus aerolatus
Lineage: Bacteria; Bacillati; Bacillota; Bacilli; Caryophanales; Staphylococcaceae
Description: Lysine riboswitch
Rfam family: Lysine riboswitch aptamer
About the family: Riboswitches are metabolite binding domains within certain messenger RNAs that serve as precision sensors for their corresponding targets. Allosteric rearrangement of mRNA structure is mediated by ligand binding, and this results in modulation of gene expression. This family includes riboswitches that sense lysine in a number of genes involved in lysine metabolism, including lysC.
Source: RNAcentral
ACGGAUGAGGCGCAUCGAUCAAUAGUACUCAUAUACUUAACUUCUGCGAAAGUGUAUAUGACGAAAGGGUGAGAUGCCGAAAUGGUCAGCAACGCAGCUGCGGGCCGUUGGAUUCACAGGUUAAGAGCUAUGGAUUUGUCAUUAUUUGAAAGAAUAAUGGAGGGCAUC